This is an RNA transcript of Magnolia sinica, 1532 nucleotides long. It is a transcript of the gene named replication factor C subunit 3, with no coding region annotated. The transcript has 10 exons. Lineage: Eukaryota; Viridiplantae; Streptophyta; Magnoliopsida; Magnoliales; Magnoliaceae. The record is from RefSeq and is a predicted model, not a curated record.
GGCGCCAGGGCAGAGAGAGAGAGAGAGAGAGAGAGGGAAUGGCGGAGACGAUGAACUCUCCCAUGGAAAUCGACGAGGGUUUUCUGCCAUCGAAGAGCCCAACAAACAAGGGCAAAAGCGUAAUUUCAGAAGUAAGCAGCAAGUCCACGCCGUGGGUCGAGAAAUACCGUCCACAGUCCCUCGCAGAUGUAGCUGCCCAUCGCGACAUCGUCGAUACCAUCGACAGGCUCACGAACGAGAACAAGCUGCCCCAUCUCCUCCUCUACGGCCCACCCGGCACCGGCAAGACUUCCACCAUCCUCGCCGUCGCCCGGAAGCUCUAUGGGUCCCACUACCAGAACAUGAUCCUCGAGCUCAAUGCAUCUGACGACAGGGGCAUUGACGUCGUCCGCCAGCAGAUCCAAGACUUCGCCAGCACCCAGAGCUUCUCCUUUGGUGCCAAGUCCUCCGUGAAGUUGGUCCUAUUGGAUGAAGCAGACGCCAUGACGAAGGAUGCACAGUUUGCCUUGCGUAGAGUAAUUGAGAAAUACACAAAGAGCACCAGGUUUUCUCUCAUUUGUAAUCAUGUCAACAAAAUCAUUCCAGCUUUACAAUCAAGAUGUACUCGUUUUAGAUUUGCUCCUCUCGAUGCUACUCACGUCACAGAACGCCUUCAAUAUGUAAUAAAGGCUGAAGGGCUUGAUGUAACUGAGAGUGGCUUAGCAGCACUUGUACGGCUGAGCAAUGGUGACAUGAGAAAGGCUUUGAAUAUUUUGCAGUCAACGCAAAUGGCUUCUCCGCAUGUAACUGAAGACGCCGUUUACUUGUGCACUGGAAACCCAAUGCCUAAAGACAUUGAGCAGAUAUCCUCCUGGCUUCUAAAUGAAUCAUUUGCGACUAGUUUCGGAUGCAUAUCUAAUAUGAAGAUGAGGAAAGGAUUGGCAUUGGUGGACAUUGUGAGAGAGGUUACCAUGUUUGUGUUUAAGAUUAAAAUGCCAGCAGAUGUUCGAGUUAAAUUAAUCAAUGAUUUGGCAGACAUCGAGUACAGGUUGAGUUCUGGAUGCAAUGACAAGCUGCAGCUUGGGGCACUCGUCACUUGUUUCACAUAUGCUCGAGCUUCUCUGGUGGCUGCUGCUAAGUAAUGUCCAUUCGCCCACUGCUAUAUAUGUAUUUUCUUUUGUUUGGGUUUAUUUCAGCGUAAAGACGUCUAUGUGGCUGCGGUGCCUGAUGACAUGCAAGUGUUUUUUUUUUUUUUCGGAAAUGAAAUUGAGGUAUUUUUGGUGCAUUGGCGUCCACUUUGCGGCAUCCUGAAAUCAAAAGCUUGGAUUACUGAACCAUGGGCCCAUUCUGCCAAAUUUCACCCGCUAGUUUGGGAGCCUGUAAAUGGAGGUAAAUAGGAAAUGGAAUUGGAGGUAAAAUGAAUUGGGAUUGUGUUUGGAUGAGAUUAAAUGAAAUGCAUUUGAAAUCCAAAUUUCCUGCUUGGAUGGGAGGAAUUGGAAUGCUUUCGAAUUUUUUAAUACAUUCACAGGAACAUAUGUGAUAUCCCAAAUCAA